AUGCUCACUUUGGAAGCACAUACACUAAAACGAGAAUGUUGCAGAGAAGAUGAGCAUGGUACCUGUGCAAGGAUGACACAUUUGUGAAGUGUUCCCUAUUAAA
Molecule: small nuclear RNA, 103 nt
Organism: Callithrix jacchus (white-tufted-ear marmoset)
Lineage: Eukaryota; Metazoa; Chordata; Mammalia; Primates; Cebidae
Source: Ensembl